This 381-nucleotide ribosomal RNA is filed under the name Papuascincus sp. RNAcentral describes it as "partial small subunit ribosomal RNA". It matches the Rfam family "Bacterial small subunit ribosomal RNA", at positions 794 to 1384 of the family's 1533-position model. The record is from RNAcentral. Lineage: Eukaryota; Metazoa; Chordata; Lepidosauria; Squamata; Scincidae.
GCUUAGCCCUAAACACAGAUAUUCUAAUACACCAAUAUCCGCCAGAGAACUACAAGCGAAAAGCUAGAAACUCCAAGGACUUGGCGGUGCUUCAAACCAACCUAGAGGAGCCUGUCCUAUAAUCGAUAUUCCACGUUCUACCUUACCCCCCUUAGCCUUCAGCCUAUAUACCGCCGUCGUCAGCCUACCUUAUGAAAGAAACAAAGUAAGCAAAACAGUUAAUAACUAAAACGUCAGGUCAAGGUGUAGCACAUGGGCGGGCAGAGAUGGGCUACAUUUUCAAAACGAACAUACGGAUAAUAUGUUGAAACACAUAUUUGAAGGUGGAUUUAGUAGUAAAAUAACAAAGAAAACCUUAUUGAAACUUGCUCUGAAGCGCGC